Molecule: long non-coding RNA, 679 nt
Organism: Limulus polyphemus (Atlantic horseshoe crab)
Lineage: Eukaryota; Metazoa; Arthropoda; Merostomata; Xiphosura; Limulidae
Exons: 3
Source: RefSeq, a predicted model, not a curated record
UACAGGGAUUUAUAUUUUCAAGGCGUACAUCAAAUAAUACUCUGUCACAUGCACUGAACUCUCUUAAAGGAUCACGUUGGAAAAAAGUGAGAGGAGUGCUUUCGCCAUCCUUUACAACCAGGAAAUUGAAAACAAUGUCACCGAUAAUCAACGAUGCCAUGGAAAAACUUCUGAAUAAUAUCGAAAGAAAGUCCAAAACGGGGAAGUCCUUUGACGUGUCCCAGCUUUACCAAGCUUUAACAUUAGACGUGAUUGGAAGAUGUGCUUUAGGUGUUCAGACAGAUGUCCAGAAAGGCGCAGAAGAACACGACCUAGUUAAGAGUUCCAGAAUAAUUUUCUCUGCUACGUUCCAGUCCUUGAUGUUUGUUUUUAUGGUGACAUUUCCGGAAAUUGCAAACCUAUUGUCCCAAAUUCGAUUCUUAUAUUUCAAAUUCUUUAAUAAGGGGGUUAAUCCAUUUCUGCAUCUGCUGGAUACGUGUAUCCAGGUUAUUAAAGCCAGGAAGGCGGACAUUUCGGUAAGCUAAUUUCAACAUAGAAAUUAAACUCUAGAAACCAAUAGAAUCAUAACGAUGACUUAGGGAAAGAACAAACUUUCAAACAAUACAAUUUUCACUUUAUCAACAAUUUGUAGUAAAAUAGUGACUUAAGGACAGAACUCCUUUCAGUGAAUACAAUGAUA